CGAGUCCCGACCUCCGCUGGAUCCUAAGGACCACGUAGAUGCUCCCUGAACUGCUGAGUUCUUCCAGCAUCGUGUGUGUAUGUUGCUGUGAAACAUUGGAUGGCAGGAACAGACUAAAUGAUGAGCUUUGCCUGCCUUGGCUCUCCUCCAUCUUCCACACUUGGUGAACUUGAAGUUGUCUGAACUUCCUUGGCCUGGUUCAUCUUUUCCUUUGAUGCAUUCCUAGCAGCAAGUUGCAUAAGCAGUGAUGGUGCAG
Molecule: long non-coding RNA, 256 nt
Organism: Hypanus sabinus (Atlantic stingray)
Lineage: Eukaryota; Metazoa; Chordata; Chondrichthyes; Myliobatiformes; Dasyatidae
Exons: 3
Source: RefSeq, a predicted model, not a curated record